This 270-nucleotide ribosomal RNA is filed under the name uncultured bacterium. RNAcentral describes it as "partial 16S ribosomal RNA". It matches the Rfam family "Bacterial small subunit ribosomal RNA", at positions 156 to 441 of the family's 1533-position model. The record is from RNAcentral.
ACUUGUGCUAAUACCGGAUAAGUCUUUACGGAGAAAGCUUUAUGCACCAUUGGAUGAGCCUGCACUUGAUUAGUUUGUUGGUGGGGUAAUGGCCUACCAAGACUGUGAUCAAUAGCUGAUUUGAGAGGAUGAUCAGCCACAUUGGGACUGAGACACGGCCCAAACUCCUACGGGAGGCAGCAGUGGGGAAUCUUGCACAAUGGAGGAAACUCUGAUGCAGCGAUGCCGCGUGAGUGAAGAAGGCCCUUGGGUUGUAAAGCUCUUUCGUCG